RNAcentral lists this ribosomal RNA (656 nucleotides) under Hemisphaericaspora subhashii. RNAcentral's name for it is "eukaryotic LSU rRNA". It matches the Rfam family "Eukaryotic large subunit ribosomal RNA", at positions 1 to 669 of the family's 3401-position model. Lineage: Eukaryota; Fungi; Ascomycota; Pichiomycetes; Serinales; Debaryomycetaceae. The record is from RNAcentral.
AGUUUGACCUCAAAUCAGGUAGGAUUACCCGCUGAACUUAAGCAUAUCAAUAAGCGGAGGAAAAGAAACCAACAGGGAUUGCCUUAGUAGCGGCGAGUGAAGCGGCAAAAGCUCAAAUUUGAAAUCUGGCGUAUUCUACGUCCGAGUUGUAAUUUGAAGAAGGUAACUUUGGGGUUGGCUCUUGUCUAUGUUCCUUGGAACAGGACGUCACAGAGGGUGAGAAUCCCGUGCGAUGAGAUGCCCAAUUCCAUGUAAAGUUCCUUCGAAGAGUCGAGUUGUUUGGGAAUGCAGCUCUAAGUGGGUGGUAAAUUCCAUCUAAAGCUAAAUAUUGGCGAGAGACCGAUAGCGAACAAGUACAGUGAUGGAAAGAUGAAAAGAACUUUGAAAAGAGAGUGAAAAAGUACGUGAAAUUGUUGAAAGGGAAGGGUUUGAGAUCAGACUUGGUAUUUUGUAUGUCUUGCUCUCGGGCGGGGCCUCUGCAGUUUACUGGGCCAGCAUCGGUUUGGAUGGUAGGACAAUCGCGGAGAAAUGUGGCACCACCUCGGUGGUGUGUUAUAGUCUUUGUGGAUACUGCCUGUCUAGACCGAGGACUGCGUCUUUUUGACUAGGAUGUUGGCAUAAUGAUCUUAAACCGCCCGUCUUGAAACACGGACCAA